GCAUCAUUUUUUGGCCUUAAAAUAAUCAAAGGUAAUCUUAUAACUUUUGUUCCUAAUUCCAACAUUUCAAAAAUGGACAUUUAUCUCAAUCCAACAGGAACAAUUCCAAAGAUUAUUUUGGCUUCAACGAGAUUUCUUACAAAAUCUUCAACCAAUUCCUACAAAAGAAAUCCAAUGAGAUUUCUUAGCAUAUUAGCAAUGUGUAAUUUUGCGAUUCUGAGGGAGUACAGUGCAACCUUUUCAAAGAAUAUCAUAUGGAUAUUUCCCUACUCCAGGUAUGUUAAGGCUAUCCCUUCUCUCUUUAUGGCAUGAUCAAUACGAUACCAACGAAACGAGCAAAUGCACAAUUUCCAUAACUGACUCUAUUCAUAGAAGUACUAGGGGUGUCUAUAUUCUUGAUUCCCUGUGUGAAUUAUUAUUAUAUCUUCUGUUCAUGGGUCUCAGAAAAAUACUUAUUUGAUAAAGUUUAUCCGGAAGGCAUAUUGAUUUUUAUGACAUUCCGAGAAAUAUUACUAAUGUAUUUAUUAUGCAUCUCAUGCAUUUAUACAUAUACACUGACCCAUGACCGGAUGGCGUUAUAUACGCGUAUAUUAUAUGUAUUGGGAUAUGGGAAAAGGUUACGACGUUAUAUCUGCACCACCACCUGAUCAGCUGGUAUACAUUGAUGAUUUGCCCACAGUGGCCAAGAUGAUAUGAUGGGAUGCCCUCAGAGGCUUGAUGAUGUUAUGAACACAUAUACCUAUGCAUGAUAUGACAUUUAUACGUAUAUGCAUGACAUUAUAAAAAUAAAAUGAUUCACAGAGCUAGGCAAACGUAUAUGCCGAGUCUUUUACUCCAUGUUUCUCUCAUGUCUAUUAUUUAUUGAUUUUCAUUCCUUACAUACUCGGUACAUUAUUUGUACUGACAUCCCUUUUGCCUGGGAACGCUACGUUUCAUGCCCGCAGGUCCCGAUAGACAGGUUGAGAGCACUCCAAGUAGGCUAUCAGCUCAGUGAAAGAUGUUGGUGCGCUCCAUUUGCUUGGGAGUUGCUUGUUUGGUUAGUAUGAUUUAGACGUGUAUUGUUUGGUAUGGCGGGACUCUGUCCCGACCUUUGUGAAAAUUAUAUAUCAUUAGAGGCUUGUAGAGAGAUGUCAUGUACGUAAACGAUUGUAUGGCCUUGUCGGCCUAUGUUCAGUGUACGAGUGCUUAAUUUGGUCUUAUAGGNNNNNNNNN
This 1212-nucleotide long non-coding RNA is filed under the name Nicotiana tabacum (common tobacco). RNAcentral describes it as "long non-coding RNA (NTAB_LNC013969)". Lineage: Eukaryota; Viridiplantae; Streptophyta; Magnoliopsida; Solanales; Solanaceae. The record is from RNAcentral.